This 781-nucleotide ribosomal RNA is filed under the name uncultured Neocallimastigales. RNAcentral describes it as "partial large subunit ribosomal RNA". It matches the Rfam family "Eukaryotic large subunit ribosomal RNA", at positions 23 to 633 of the family's 3401-position model. Lineage: Eukaryota; Fungi; Neocallimastigomycota; Neocallimastigomycetes; Neocallimastigales. The record is from RNAcentral.
AGAGAGAGACAUGCGCGCAUAUCAAUAAGCGGAGGAAAAGAAACUAACUAGGAAUUCCCUCAGUAACGGCGAGUGGAGCGGGAAGAGCUCAAAUUUGAAAUCUUCAAGGUUCUACCUUGACGAAUUGUAGUUUAAAGAAGUGUUUUCUGUUGGAACUUUUGGUAAAAGUUCUUUGGAAAUAGGACAUCAAUAGAGGGUGAGAAUCCCGUAUUUGACCAUUAUUUUCAGCUUUGUGAUACACUUUCAAAGAGUCGGAUUGUUUGGGAAUGCAGUCCAAAAUGGGUGGUAAAUUUCAUCUAAAGCUAAAUACUGGCGAGAGACCGAUAGCGAACAAGUACCGUGAGGGAAAGAUGAAAAGAACUUUGAAAAGAGAGUUAAACAGUACGUGAAAUUGUCAAAAGGGAAGCGUUUGACACCAGUGUUGUUUUCUCGAAAAUCAAUUAAAAAAUGGAUUCAUGCUAGGUAGUAUUGACUUCAUCAGCUUUCUGCACUUAUUUUUGGUUCUUUUUUAAUGCACUUUUCGUUUAACAAGUCAACAUCAAUUUCUUUUGCUGUAAAAGGGUAAUAGGAAGGUGGCUUUCUUUUCGGAGAAAGUGUUUAUAGCCUUUGGCCUCUGCAAUCGGAGAGAUUGAGGUCUGCAGCGUAGAUCCUUCGGGGUUAGAUACAUUUGUGCUAAGUUAUAGCCUUUCAUAGACAACUUGUUGACUAUGAUCAGUCAUGUAGCUUACUCGCUUAUGUCUAUUUUACCUACGCUUAGGAUGUUGACAGCAGUAUAGACUGU